Tachysurus fulvidraco (yellow catfish) is the source of this 771-nucleotide non-coding RNA. Lineage: Eukaryota; Metazoa; Chordata; Actinopteri; Siluriformes; Bagridae. The record is from the annotation of a RefSeq genome assembly.
ACAGCCUCUCUGUAAUGUUUAUGCAAAUCUGCAUCUCCUCUUGUAAUAUUAGCAGCGUUCUGAUCUAGAGAGGAAACACUUCUCAUUAGUCUUCCUUCAACACAAACAUGUUUGCUUCAGCUCCACUGCUGCUGCUGGCUCUCGCCCCCUAUGUGUUCUGUGCUACUGAGCUCAUCCAGCCAGACUCACUGCUUAUAAAGCCAGGAGAGACUUUAACCAUCACCUGUAAAGUGUCUGGAGCUUCUAUCACUGAUAGUAGCAACCACUUUGGAACAUCUUGGGUUCAACAACCUGCAGGAAAAGCUUUAGAAUGGAUCAACACCAUGUAUCAUGAUGGAAAUAGUCAUCAAAAAGAUUCACUUAAAGACAAGUUUGUGGUCUCUCGAGACACUUCCAGUAACUCUGUGACCUUACGGGGACAGAACAUGCAGACUGAAGACACAGCUGUGUAUUACUGCGCUCGUUAUCCACACAGUGACACGACAAGCUGCAGUGCUGCACAAAAACCUCAUCACAAUUCACUUCUUUAAUUAAAUAACAACUACAUUUUACUGAGUAACUAAUCCCCAUAUUACAAAUAUUUCAGCAUAGACACCAACACUGGUAUUAAAGAGUGGACUAGCUUAUUGAUCACUUGAGUGGAGUUCUCAGGAGCUUGACAUUUCAUAGCAAUGUGUCCGUCCUCUCACGUAUUUCAUUUAGUAAGUUCAAGAAAGUAGGUGGUCGCUUUUUUCUCUCCCUUAGUCGCAACUGCAGGAGCAUCAUGUCUGA